ACACCUCAACUCUCACGGUUUCUCGUGAUGAGCUUGGACUUGGGGGUUUUGUUGGCCUGUGGUCAGCUCUCCUCAAAUGAAUUAGCUUGCCGGUGUCUGGCGGCAUCAUGGGUGUGAUAACAAUCUACGCUUGUGAUCGUCUGCGAGGUAAACCUCUGGUCUGCAGAGGUUCGCCGGAGCUUAUAGAUGUCUCUCCUCAGUGAAGACAGCUGUUUGAA
RNAcentral lists this unclassified non-coding RNA (218 nucleotides) under uncultured Tomentella. RNAcentral describes it as "sequence contains ITS2". The record is from RNAcentral. Lineage: Eukaryota; Fungi; Basidiomycota; Agaricomycetes; Thelephorales; Thelephoraceae.